RNAcentral lists this unclassified non-coding RNA (274 nucleotides) under plant metagenome. RNAcentral describes it as "partial contains small subunit ribosomal RNA, internal transcribed spacer 1, and 5.8S ribosomal RNA". The stretch from base 1 to 55 matches the Rfam family "Eukaryotic small subunit ribosomal RNA", at positions 1778 to 1831 of the family's 1831-position model. The record is from RNAcentral.
GGAAGUAAAAGUCGUAAACAAGGUCUCCGUUGGUGAACCAGCGGAGGGAUCAUUACUGAGAGAGUUUGCGAGAACUCCCCCAAACCCACUGUGAACGUACCUGUUAGUUUGCUUCGGCAGGCGGUCCCCGGGGGGACCUCCAGCCCGCCUCCGGGCGGGUGCCUGCCGCGAGGCCACUACAAACUCUGCUAUACCAAUCGUCUGAGAACAAGAAGCCCGCUGAGAAGCAGGGCAAAUCUAGUUAAAACUUUCAACAACGGAUCUCUUGGUUCUG